This is a non-coding RNA of Paramuricea clavata, 172 nucleotides long. The record is from the annotation of a GenBank genome assembly. NCBI's taxonomy places the organism in Eukaryota, Metazoa, Cnidaria, Anthozoa, Malacalcyonacea, Plexauridae.
GGAAGCAGAACAUCCUUCUUCAACACAUGCAUAAAAAAUAAUUCUUUAUUUUGACCAAUAAAUGAGGAAAUAAACUUUAACUCGUUUUCGUGUGAUGCUUAUUUCCAUAUUUAUUGAUCAAAAUCCAAAAUUUUUUCAUGCAUGUGUUGAAGAAGGAUGAUGUUCUGCUUCU